RNAcentral lists this long non-coding RNA (1373 nucleotides) under Marmota monax (woodchuck). Lineage: Eukaryota; Metazoa; Chordata; Mammalia; Rodentia; Sciuridae. The record is from RNAcentral.
AGAGAAAGGUCCCUGUGCUGCUGAGAAGAAAGUAUAUCUGUUUGAUGCCAGUUGAAAUAUUCUAUAUAUGUCAGUUAAGUCUAAGUUAUUAAUUGUGUUAUUGAGCUCUAUAGUUUUUUUUAAUUCAGCUUUUGUUUGGAAGAUCUGUCCAGUGGUGAAACAGGUGUGUUAAAGUCACCCAUGUUUAUUAUGUUGUGGUCAAUUUGAUUCUUGAACUUGAGAAGAGUUUGUUUGAUGAACAUAGCUGUAUUAUUGUUUGGGGCAUAUAUAUUUAUGAUUGUAAUGUCUUGUUGGUUUAUGGUUCCCUUGAGCAGUAAGUAAUGUCCAUCUUUAUCCCUUUUGAUUAAUUUUGGCUUGAAGUCAACUUUAUUUUAUAUGAGUAUGGAAACUCCUGCUUGCUUCUGCAGUCCAGGUGAGUGGUAUGAUUUUUCCCAACCUUUCACCUUCGAUCUCUGUAUGUCUUUUCCUAACAGAUGAGUCUCCUGUAGGCAGUAUAUUAUUGGAUUUUUAAAAAAAUCCAAUCUGCUAGUCUAUGUCUUUUGAUUGGUGAGUUUCAGCCAUUAACAUUUUGGGUUACUAUUGAGACAUGGUUUGUAUUUCCAGCCAUAUUUAUUUAUUUUUGUUAUUUAACUUGACUUGGUUUUCCUCUUUGAUUAGUUUUUCCUUUAGUGUAAUACCUCCCUCUGCUGGUUUUCAUUGCUGUUUUUCAUUUCCUCUUCAUGAAAUAUUUUGCCAAGCAUGUUUGUAGUGCCAGUUUUCUAGCUAUAAAUUCUUUUAACUUUUGUUUAUCAUGGAAUGCUUUUAUUUCAUUUUCAUAUUUGAAGCUUAAUUUUGCUGGAUACUAGAUUCUUGGUUGGCACCCAUUAUCUUUCAGAGCUUGAGAUAUAUUGUUCCAGGAUCUUCUAGCUUUCAGGGUCUGUGUUGAAAAAUCUAUCGUUAUCCUAAUUGGUUUACCCCUAUAUGCAACCUGAUUCCUUUCUCUUGUGGCUUUUAAAAUUCUCUCCUUAUUCUGUAUGUUGGGCAUUUUCAUCAUAAUGUGUCUUUGUGUGGAUAUGUUGUGAUUUUGCACAUUCAGUGUUCUGUAGGCUUCUUGGAUUUGGAUUUGCAUUUCAUUUUUCAUGUCUGGAAACUUUUCUGAUAGUAUUUCAUUGAACAGAUUGCUCAUUCUUUUGGUUUGGAUCUCUAUGCCUUCCUCUAUCCCAAUAACUCUUAAAUUUGGUCUCUUUAUGCUAUCCCAUAUUUCUUGAAUGUUCUGCUUGUGGUUUCUUAUCAUUUUUGCUGAGCUGUCUACAUUCUUUUCAAUAUGAUAUAUUUUAUCUUCAUUUUCUGAUGUCCUGUCUUCUAAGUGGUAUACUCUGUUGGUGACACUCUCG